Molecule: long non-coding RNA, 268 nt
Organism: Quercus robur (English oak)
Lineage: Eukaryota; Viridiplantae; Streptophyta; Magnoliopsida; Fagales; Fagaceae
Exons: 2
Source: RefSeq, a predicted model, not a curated record
CCGGUUGCCUAGAUGUGAUAAAAAAUUCACAAAGAGACCAUCCGGGUCGCCCCGCCAAACAAAACGGAUCCUUUCAACAGUACCCGAAUCUUCCACACUCUUAACAUCAACAAAGCCAUCGUCACAGCCUCUUUCAUUACAUGUAUAGAGAGAGAGAGAGAGAGAGAGAAAGAGAGAGCCAUGAAUCUGAAAAGAAAGAAGAAAAAGAAACAGAUACAAACACAAACAAAAACACAGCAACAGAGAGAGAGAGAGAGAGAGAGAGAGA